CCUACGGGAGGCAGCAGUGAGGAAUAUUGGUCAAUGGGCGGACGCCUGAACCAGCCAAGUAGCGUGCGGGAUGAAGGCCCUACGGGUCGUAAACCGCUUUUGCACAGGGAUAACACCCUCCACUUGUGGAUGUCUGCAGGUACCGUGCGAAUAAGGGCCGGCUAAUUCCGUGCCAGCAGCCGCGGUAAUACGGAAGGCCCGAGCGUUAUCCGGAUUCAUUGGGCUUAAAGGGAGCGUAGGUGGAUUGUUAAGUCAGUUGUGAAAGUUUGCGGCUCAACCGUAAAAUUGCAGUUGAAACUGGCAGUCUUGAGUACAGUAGAGGUGGGCGGAAUUCGUGGUGGAGCGGUGAAAUGCUUAGAUAGCACGAAGAACUCCGAUUGCGAAGGCAGCUUACUGGACUGCAACUGACAUUGAGGCUCGAAAGUGUGGGUAUCAAACAGGAUUAGAUACCCUUGUAGUC
RNAcentral lists this ribosomal RNA (460 nucleotides) under uncultured bacterium. Its description in RNAcentral is "partial 16S ribosomal RNA". It matches the Rfam family "Bacterial small subunit ribosomal RNA", at positions 338 to 795 of the family's 1533-position model. The record is from RNAcentral.